Molecule: long non-coding RNA, 518 nt
Filed under: Ananas comosus (pineapple)
Lineage: Eukaryota; Viridiplantae; Streptophyta; Magnoliopsida; Poales; Bromeliaceae
Description: long non-coding RNA (ACOM_LNC026748)
Source: RNAcentral
UAUAUAUAGAGAUAUAUAGGGGUAAUUGCUUAUAUACCCCUGAAAAGUUCCCGACUUUUCAAUUUACCCCUCUUAGAAGGUUAAUAUUGAAAAUACCCUUUCUACGUUCCAACCUAUUUCUAAUAUACCCCUAGAGUUAAAAUCUGUUAAUUAACUCUGUUAUCUUUGUAAAAUUACUAUUUUAACCUUUCAAAUAUACCCUUCCACAAUCACUGACUUUCUUAUUUGCCCUUAAAGUUAGGGACACAAAAAGUAUUUUGACUUUUGGUCUUUUCCAAUAUACCCCUUUGCCAUCACCAAUAUUUCUUAUUUGCCCUUAAGCUAAGGGCAAAAUUGGCAUUUUAAUUUUUUUAAACUCUGGUAAAUGUUUAAUUCACGUUUAAUCCAAGUUAACUUAACAGGAGAUAAAUGCGAGGGUAUUUUGAAAUAACGAUAGAACAUAUGAGAGAUAUUUUAGAAAGAAAAAAAAAAGUUGGAAUAAAUCUGAUAUUUUCAAACGUAUGGGGGGUAUAUAGGCA